This 257-nucleotide unclassified non-coding RNA is filed under the name Hevea brasiliensis (rubber tree). Lineage: Eukaryota; Viridiplantae; Streptophyta; Magnoliopsida; Malpighiales; Euphorbiaceae. The record is from RNAcentral.
AAAAAAAAAAUUAAGAAGAAAAAAAAAAUUGCUGGAAGUCUCGUAGGUUGUGCAGCAUAGAGAAUAAGAGAAGAAUGAGACAAAAGAAGAAAAAAAAAUUAAAAAGAAAAAAAAUUGAAGUGUUGGAAGUCUGGUAGGUUGAGCACCCUGAAGAGAAUAAGAGAAGAAGGGUACAAAAGAAGAAAAAAAAUAGAAAAGAGAAAAAAACCCACUGAUUGCGGGUCUAACCAGGUUGCACAGCGUGAGACUGAGAGGAG